Molecule: ribosomal RNA, 424 nt
Filed under: Verrucomicrobiota bacterium
Lineage: Bacteria; Pseudomonadati; Verrucomicrobiota
Description: Verrucomicrobia bacterium partial 16S ribosomal RNA
Rfam family: Bacterial small subunit ribosomal RNA
Source: RNAcentral
UGAGGAAUAUUGGUCAAUGGGCGAGAGCCUGAACCAGCCAAGUAGCGUGCAGGAUGACGGCCCUAUGGGUUGUAAACUGCUUUUAUAUGGGAAUAAAGUGAGGGACGUGUCCCUUAUUGCAUGUACCAUACGAAUAAGGACCGGCUAAUUCCGUGCCAGCAGCCGCGGUAAUACGGAAGGUCCAGGCGUUAUCCGGAUUUAUUGGGUGUAAAGGGAGCGUAGGCUGUUUGUUAAGCGUGUUGUGAAAUGUAGGAGCUCAACUUUUAGAUUGCAGCGCGAACUGGCAGACUUGAGUGCGCACAACGUAGGCGGAAUUCAUGGUGUAGCGGUGAAAUGCUUAGAUAUCAUGACGAACUCCGAUUGCGAAGGCAGCUUACGGGAGCGCAACUGACGCUAAAGCUCGAAGGUGCGGGUAGCGAACAGG